UGAAACAAAAAUAAAACGUUACUA
This 24-nucleotide non-coding RNA is filed under the name Rattus norvegicus (Norway rat). The record is from RNAcentral. Lineage: Eukaryota; Metazoa; Chordata; Mammalia; Rodentia; Muridae.